Molecule: ribosomal RNA, 491 nt
Filed under: uncultured bacterium
Lineage: Bacteria
Description: partial 16S ribosomal RNA
Rfam family: Bacterial small subunit ribosomal RNA
Source: RNAcentral
AGUGAACGCUGGCGGUAGGCCUAACACAUGCAAGUCGAACGGCAGCACAGUAAGAGCUUGCUCUUACGGGUGGCGAGUGGCGGACGGGUGAGGAAUACAUCGGAAUCUACUUUUUCGUGGGGGAUAACGUAGGGAAACUUACGCUAAUACCGCAUACGACCUACGGGUGAAAGCAGGGGAUCUUCGGACCUUGCGCGAUUGAAUGAGCCGAUGUCGGAUUAGCUAGUUGGCGGGGUAAAGGCCCACCAAGGCGACGAUCCGUAGCUGGUCUGAGAGGAUGAUCAGCCAAACUGGAACUGAGACACGGUCCAGACUCCUACGGGAGGCAGCAGGGGGGAAUAUAGGACAAUGGGCGCAAGCCUGAUCCAGCCAUACCGCGUGGGUGAAGAAGGCCUUCGGGUUGUAAAGCCCUUUUGUUGGGAAAGAAAAGCAGCAGGUUAACACCCCGCUGUUCUGACGGUACCCAAAGAAUAAGCACCGGCUAACUUCGU